GUUUGAUCCUGGCUCAGAAUCAACGCUGGCGGCGCGCUUAACACAUGCAAGUCGAACGAGAAAGCCGGGGCAACCUGGUGAGUAAAGUGGCGUACGGGUGAGUAACACGUGGAUCAUCUACCUUCUAGUGGGGAAUACCGUUGGGAAACCGACGACAAUACCGCAUGAGCUCGAGAGAGGAAAGCGGCUUUGUGAAAACAGAGUCGCGCUGGAAGAGGAGUCCGCGGCUGAUUAGCUAGUUGGUGAGGUAACGGCCCACCAAGGCUUUGAUCAGUAGCCGGCCUGAGAGGGCACACGGCCACACUGGCACCGAAACACGGGCCAGACUCCUACGGGAGGCAGCAGUGGGGAAUCUUGCACAAUGGGGGAAACCCUGAUGCAGCGACGCCGCGUGAGCGAUGAAGCCCUUCGGGGUGUAAA
RNAcentral lists this ribosomal RNA (420 nucleotides) under uncultured bacterium. RNAcentral's name for it is "bacterial SSU rRNA". It matches the Rfam family "Bacterial small subunit ribosomal RNA", at positions 11 to 429 of the family's 1533-position model. The record is from RNAcentral.